Equus caballus (horse) is the source of this 3704-nucleotide non-coding RNA. Lineage: Eukaryota; Metazoa; Chordata; Mammalia; Perissodactyla; Equidae. The record is from RefSeq and is a predicted model, not a curated record.
GGUUGGGGGAGACCAAAGAAAAAGUAGAAACAAAACAGAGAUUUAGGAUAAUGACUGCAUUUUUUUCAUUAAAAUGCUAAUGAUGACCACAAAUUUCCAGAUAACUACAUUUAUGAAUUAUUCAUAGUCCCAUCCAAGAUGAGAUCUCCCUGACACUACGAGCAGGCACAGAGCUCGCUGACGAUUAGCAUGCGGCCCCUGUAAUAAGUGUGACAAGAGCACAGGUCACUGCAAGUCUAUCCAUCAGGGCUGGCCUCACUGGCCCUCUUUAGAAGUCUGGACAAUCCCACCCAUUCUUCGCGGAUGCUUUUUCAUCUCCCUCUUCCUUAACAUCAAGGAAUAGCGUCAGCCUGGAUCUUUGUUGUGACAUCUGAACUAAUAUCCUGUAAAAACUCUAAAAGCUUGGGAAAAAAAAAAAGAAAUUUUCUGUGGGUAGAUAAGAUGACAAAUCAAUUUUUUUAAAAAAACUUUUCACUGAGGUACAACAUAAAUAUAGAAAAGUACACAUACCACAAGUAGACAGUUCAAUAAAUUUUCCUAAACUGAACACAUCAGAUCAAAACCCAGAACAUUAUCUGCACCUCAGAAGCCCCCCUUCACAUCUCUUCCUAAAGGGAACUACUGUGCACAGGUCACUUUUGCCCAGUUUUGUAGACAUCAAACUGAUUUGUCGUUAUUAAAUUCUUCAUUUAAAAAACACACAUUGAACACCUCCUAUAUGCUAAGCACUGUGCUAGGCACUAGAACUGCAAAGAUGAAUAAGACACUGUUUCCGCCUUUAAUGAGAGUGAAGUCUAGUGGGGCCAGAGACACACACACAACAGACCCCAAGGGCAGUGAAAUGAGUGCAAAUACUGAGAUUUGUGUCCAGCAGGGGCACCCAGCCCAGAAAUGGAGAGGUCAGGGAAGGCAGCCAAGUAAAAGGGAUGCCUGGCAUGUCCUCAGGCUGGAUAGGAGUUAGCCAAGUUGGGAAUGGGGGAAAAGACAAUGGAAAAGGCAGAGGUAAAAAACUGUAUGUUGUAAUUCAUCUAGGGUGAGGCCAGGAAAGAAGCCUGGAGCCGGAUCGUAACCGUGUGCACAUAUUCAGGUACUCUGACUUGUCCUGGGUCAGAGCUGGGUUUGAGAUGCAUUACUCUCUCUGGAUAGAUUCAAACAGGGCAGAGUGGAGGCAGGGAGACCAGUUAGGCCAGUCUGUGUUAGGUAGGAGAGGGAGGGUGGGGAUUAGGGCAGUGGAAGUAGGUGGGGAAGGGGAAAGGAGAGAAGAAUUAGUACUUGGGAAACAUCCAGACACUAAGAGAACAACUUGGUGAUUAAGAACAUGUGGGUGGACGGGAGUGACAACUGAUGUGGAGAAUACAGGAGAAUGAAUAAGUUUAAAAGGAAGACAAGGGGUUUACUUUGAGGCACUGGAAAGUGAGGUACAGAAGAUUUGGGUAGGGAUACCCAGAUAGACUUGAGUGUGAAGCUUGGGGAAGAAACCUGAGCAAAGCAUAAAGACCUACAAGUGAUUAUGACAUAGCGAGCUGCAGAAACUAGGUUAGUGGGUGACAUCACUGAAGGAACACGGGCAGAGAGUGAAGACUAGAGGAUUAGUACUAAAAGCAGAACCCCGGAGAACAUGAACAACGAUAGAAUCGGCAGAGGAAAAAGAUCUUUUGAAAAAGACCAAGGAAGAAAGGCAGAGAGGUACCAUGGGAUACAAUGAGAUGAAUAAGGAUAAGAAAUGAAAAAUAUACCUUUAGAUUUGACACUCAAGCAGUCACUGGCCACCCCGAUGGAGGGUGGUUUCAGUGAAGUGGGGGAGGCAGAGAUAACAGAGGAAGUGGAAGAGAAGAGGAAGGAGAAUGGACAGUUGAAGGAAUCAGCAAUAAAGUGAAGGAAUCCGCAGAGAAAGCUUGAGAGUACGAGAAGGAAGAGGUAGGGAGGGGAUAAGAUUCCAAAGGAGUGGGGGAAAAGGGUCAGGAGUACAGAUGAAGGGGCUGACCUUGAAAAGGAAGGGGAAUCUACAACCCUCUGGUUUUAGAAUAAUAUUAGAAUUAUAGGAAUAAAGACAAAUCUGGUUAUAGUAAGUCUGCACCUAAUAGCAUUGGGAUCUUGGAGGCAAAAUGACAUCAAUAUUGUAGAUAAAACAGUUGGCAAGGCUCUUUGCUGAGAACGAGGUAACGUGUAAAUGGUUUGAGGAUAUAGAUCUUAAAAUCUUGGCUUAUGGCAUGCAGCUCUCCAAAACUGACGUAGCCCAACCCUGUUUUAAGGUAAAUAAACAUAUAUGCCAGUACGUAUCAAGGUGGAAAGGGGCAUCUGUGAGGGAAGCACACCUAUAGUAGAACUUAAUAAUAUCAAAAAAUACUAUAUAAGCAAAAGAUUCAGAACGUUCUUCUUCAAAUGAUCUUAGGUUUUGGAUGCCAACCUUUCCAAAGGCUUACAUACAGUUUCAUCAAGUGAACCCACUACGCACCAUCUUACAAGCCUUCUUAAGAUGCUUCAAUUCAAAGAUCCCUCCUAGCACGACUAACUUAAUGAAAAUAGAGUCACACAUUUGAAAGUAAAGGCAAGAAGAAGGGGAGAGCGGAGUUGGCAGGGGCACCUGCUCCUGAGAUUUCUUAGUGUAAUGCCUUUUAAGACAGCAGCGAUGUCACCUCACUUCAACCUCCUGCCCACUCUUCCACCUCAGGUUUUGGCAAAUUUGGAAGUGGGUGGAGUGACCUCGUUCUUGGAAAAGCACUCCAAUAAUGCCAAAAGUAGCAAAGUUUAUUAGAAAAAAUUUAAUGCAAUGGAAAAUACCUUGAAAAAGUAGAUUUUAUGUUCUCCAGGCAGCCUAUGUGAUUUCGAAAACUCUGAGGCUGCUCCACAGUUUACCUAUUCUGUUAAUGUGAACAUCUCGAGGCCAUCUUUGGAAGAUGACAGAAUUUUAGAAUUCUAAAUAAACAUGUUAUCAUCAUUGAAGUCAGCCAGGAUUGAGAUGGUUCCAAAGUCAUCUGACACCUACUAAAUGGGCCAUUCAUCUUUGUAUCCCCAGGUAUAGGACAUACAGCAAGCAGUCAAUAAAUAUGGAAUAAAUCAAUAAACAGAAACAUACGUGAAGAGUUCUCACAACUAAGAGGAUCAUCAAUAUGACUAUCAAUUACCUUGCUCUGUUGGAACAUGAAAACACUUACUCUGAGAAAAAGGAGCUGGCCCAGUAGAUGCUAGGCUGAAGCUGAGUUUAUACCACCAUGACAAGAGCUAGGUGCGGAGUUCCUACCAAAGAAACAGAACACUGAGAAUCAAAAGGAAAAGAUUGCUGAAGUUCAAACACCAAGGGAAGCACAGAUACACAUGGACUUUGGAGAGCCAAAGGUGAAAUCCGGAGUUACAGAUCCAAGUAUAGAGCCAAGAAGAAUCAAGAUCUGAGUAGAAGAUAAAUCGAUGGAAUAGAGGGAGAGUACAAGAUUGGCUUUAUGUGUGUGCUGCUGGUAACCGGACUAAACCCACCUAUAAAAGCCAGCGGCAAGACAACCUUCCAAGGCACAGAGCGCUCUUUGCUCCUCCACAAAAAGGCCACUGAUUGCUACGCUUUGGGAAAUAUUUUGUCUGUCUUUCAUAGUUUGGUUAUCUCCUCUCCCUUACCCUCAAGAGUUGAGUCUCGCUGUCAGAGCACCAACCUUUCCCUUCUUCAAGUCAGCUAUGAUUUUGGAAACCAAAUAAAAUUAAAAAGUGCAAGAGAA